Molecule: ribosomal RNA, 768 nt
Filed under: Armadillidium vulgare (common pillbug)
Lineage: Eukaryota; Metazoa; Arthropoda; Malacostraca; Isopoda; Armadillidiidae
Description: bacterial SSU rRNA
Rfam family: Bacterial small subunit ribosomal RNA
Source: RNAcentral
CUCACAGAAGAAGUCCUGGCUAACUCCGUGCCAGCAGCCGCGGUAAUACGGAGAGGGCUAGCGUUAUUCGGAAUUAUUGGGCGUAAAGGGCGCGUAGGCUGACUAAUAAGUUAAAAGUGAAAUCCCGAGGCUUAACCUUGGAAUUGCUUUUAAAACUGUUAAUCUAGAGAUUGAAAGAGGAUAGAGGAAUUCCUAGUGUAGAGGUAAAAUUCGUAAAUAUUAGGAGGAACACCAGUGGCGAAGGCGUCUAUCUGGUUCAAAUCUGACGCUGAGGCGCGAAGGCGUGGGGAGCAAACAGGAUUAGAUACCCUGGUAGUCCACGCUGUAAACGAUGAAUGUUAAAUAUGGGAAAUUUAUUUUCUGUAUUACAGCUAACGCGUUAAACAUUCCGCCUGGGGACUACGGUCGCAAGAUUAAAACUCAAAGGAAUUGACGGGGACCCGCACAAGCGGUGGAGCAUGUGGUUUAAUUCGAUGCAACGCGAAAAACCUUACCACUCCUUGACAUGGAAAUCAUACCUAUUCGAAGGGAUAGGGUCGGUUCGGCCGGAUUUCACACAGGUGUUGCAUGGCUGUCGUCAGCUCGUGUCGUGAGAUGCUGGGUUAAGUCCCGCAACGAGCGCAACCCUCAUCCUUAGUUACCAUCAGAUAAUACUGGGGACUUUAAGGAAACUGCUAGUGAUAAACUGGAGGAAGGUGGGGAUGAUGUCAAGUCAUCAUGGCCCUUAUGGAGUGGGCUACACACGUGCUACAAUGGUGGCUACAAUGG